This 327-nucleotide long non-coding RNA is filed under the name Lingula anatina. RNAcentral describes it as "uncharacterized LOC106161736, transcript variant X2". Lineage: Eukaryota; Metazoa; Brachiopoda; Lingulata; Lingulida; Lingulidae. The record is from RNAcentral.
CACGUACAUGUAGCUAUCACAGCCCUCACACAGCAUGUUAUAAAGAUUAGGUGUCCUGCAUCAUAAAUAUCCACGUAGAUAUCACAGCCCUCACACAGCAUGUUAUAAAGAUCGCUUAGGGACCUUACAAGUUUCGCAGAGAUAUAGCAAGGAUUAAAAUGAUAAACACACAAUAUGACUAAACUAACAUACCGGUAGUUGAUGUUCUGAUACCAGUACACUAGUCCCAGACAAAGUAUUUCAUAUGUGGAGAUAAACGAUAAACAAAUCCCAUUCGAACAAUGAUGUAAAGGGGAGGCACAACUGGAUAUUUUACAAGGAAAAAAA